AAGACUAUACUUUCAGGGAUCAUUUCUAUAGUUUGUUUACAGUAUUUUCCUCCUAUCACGUGUCCUUAUCAAUGAGCUGCAGGUCCAAAAGA
This 92-nucleotide small nucleolar RNA is filed under the name Ursus americanus (American black bear). Its description in RNAcentral is "Small nucleolar RNA U3". The stretch from base 1 to 39 matches the Rfam family "Small nucleolar RNA U3", at positions 1 to 41 of the family's 219-position model. The record is from Rfam by way of RNAcentral. Lineage: Eukaryota; Metazoa; Chordata; Mammalia; Carnivora; Ursidae. RNAcentral also lists the same sequence under 2 other names.